GGCCUGCAAUGCUCAUGGGCUCUAUUGUGUACCCUUGUAUGACACUUUAGGUUCUGGUGCUGUGGAGUUUAUCAUAUGCCAUGCAGAAGUUUCAAUAGCACUUGUAGAGGAAAAAAAGAUUAACGAGCUGCUUAAAACAUUUCCAAAGGCAUCCGAAUACUUGCGAAAAAUUGUUAGCUUUGGGACGGUAACACCCAAGCAGAAAGC
Molecule: long non-coding RNA, 207 nt
Organism: Hibiscus syriacus
Lineage: Eukaryota; Viridiplantae; Streptophyta; Magnoliopsida; Malvales; Malvaceae
Exons: 4
Source: RefSeq, a predicted model, not a curated record